AUUCUUUUAGUAUUAACCAGUACAGCUGACUUCCAAUCAGCCAGUUCCGGUCAAACCCGGAAGAGAAUA
RNAcentral lists this transfer RNA (69 nucleotides) under Antilocapra americana (pronghorn). RNAcentral describes it as "tRNA-Gly". Lineage: Eukaryota; Metazoa; Chordata; Mammalia; Artiodactyla; Antilocapridae. The record is from RNAcentral.